CGUCUGCGGUGUUACCCACGACUGCCUGGGACCUGGCCAAGGGCUCCACACACCAAGACCAAGGUGAGGGGAGGUGGUGGGUGGGGACCAGCCCUGCCUCUCUUGGAGACCCCGAGGGUAUGGCGCCAGGCCAGCCUGGAGUCGGGUGUGGGGCGGUUAGUGUGAGCAUUACGUCUUCUUUUCCCUAAAGUGGCUGAAAAUGUCCCCGGGGCCAGUCCCUCAGGGCACCCUGCUGGACUCAAUGCAGCAGAAAGAGUUGGGGUGUUUGGCCGGGUGCGGUGGCUCACGUCUGUCAUCCCAGCACUUUGGGAGGCUGAGGCGGGCGGAUCACCUGAGGUCAGGAGUUGGAGACCAGCCUGGUCAACAUGGCGAAACCCCAUCUCUACUAAAAAUACAAACAUUAGCUGGGUGUGGUGGCAGAUGCCGGUAAUCCCAGCUACUCCGGAGGCUGAAGCAGGAGAAUCACUUGAACCCAGGUGGCGGAGGUUGCAGUGAGCUGAGAUCUCACCAUUGCAUUCCAGCCUGGGUAACAAAGUGCGACUCCGUCUCAAAAAAAAAAAAAAAAAAGAGAAAGGGUUGGAGUGUCCCAUCCUCAGGGCAGGGGUCAGAGCUGCAUCCCUGGGGUGCCCUGAGCUUGGGGGUCAUGAUAACCUUCACCCUGCAUGCAGCCCAGGCCCACACCUAGAAGUCUUGUGGCCUUGAGCACACUGCGUUGCCUCUCUGAGCCUCGGUUUCUCCAUCUAUAAAAUGGAGAGGGUAACAGUGAGAGAUUGCUAUUGGCUGGCUUCGUUCAUUGGGCCCUAAAUCAAACAGUGGCUUAAAUACCAGAGGCUUGCUCAAUGGGUGGUGGGCAGGCAGCCGGGCUGGGGCGGCGCCCCCCCCAUCUCCACGGUGUCCCCACCUCUACAGUGCCUCCCCCUCUCCAUGGUGCCCCCCCACCACGGCCUCCAUCCCUGGGGUCCAGGUUUCAUUUGUUCCUCAGCAAAUGCUACAGAGCUUUUGUAGGCCCACCAGCAGGAGUGGGGUUGCCAGGCAGUGAGCUAGGGGGUGCUGGGAGGGCCCGAGGGGAGGCAGGGCGCAUCCUGCAGGGUGCCUGUGAGGACCUGGGCUGAGGGUGGGUUUGAGCAGAGGCUGACAUGGUCUCACCCUCUGGCUGCUGGGUGGGAACAGACCAUGGGGAGGCCAGGACGGAAGUGAGGAGAACAUGACGAUCCCGGAGAGAGAUAACCCGGAUCGUGGUGGAGACACAGGAAGUGGGGAGAAGUGGUCCAAGCUGUGGAUAUCUGAACAUGGACUCAACAGAAUUUCCCGAUAGAUUGGAUGAGGGGUGUGACUGAAAGGGAGAAGUCAAGGAUGGUUCCAUAGCAACCGCAGGAGCUCCAGCCAUUGCAUCUGCAUUCCAGGCAGCAGGAAGGAGAAAGGAGGGAAGGUAAAAGACUACUGAAAAGCUUUCAGCUGGGGCUGGGCAUGGAGGCUCACACCUGUAAUCCCAACACUUUGGGAAGCCGAGGCUGGUGGAUCACUUGAGCCCAGGAGUCUGAGACCAGCCUGGCCAACAUGGCAAAACCCUGUCGCUACAAAAAAUACAAGAAUUAGCCAUGUGCACCUGUGGUCCCAGGUAUGAUCUCACCACUGUACCUCAGCCUGGGUGACAGAGUGAGACCCUGAUUCAGAGAAGGGGGAGGGGAAGAGGAAGGGGAAGGGGAAGGGGGACGGAAGGGGGAAGGGAAGGGGAAGGAGAAAGGGAAAGUGAAGGGGGAGGGGAAGGAGAAAGGGAAGGGGAAGGGGAAGGGGGAGGGGGAGGGGAAGAGGAGUGGAAGGGGAAGGGGGAGAAGGGGAAGGGGAAGGGGGAAGAGAAAGGGAAGGAGGAGGGGGAGGGGGAGGGUCUUUUGGCAAGCCAUGAAGUCGGCCCAGCCCUUCUGCUUAUAUUGCUCAGGUUGUAGUCACAGGACCAUGCCCGGUGCUCGUGAGGAUGGGGAGGUGAUUGCUAGCUGGGAACUGCGCACUCAACAAUGACAGGGAGAUGCCUCUGGGUGGGGAAGGCAGUGCAUGGACGCUGGUCAGCCGGCCACUCCAGGCAGUGGGAAGGUGCUCAGAGGCCCGAGGAGUCAACUCUGGUGGGCGCUGGCUGUGCAGCCGGUGCUGGUGGCCUGAACACGGCAGAGGGCCAGGCCGGGCCUCACUCAAAGGAAGCAGGGAGACAGGAGCGGGGCUGUGGGCUUCUCUCGAGAGCUGCCAGGCAGCCAGGCAGGCUGGGAAUGACAUUUGCCAUGCUGUGCCCCCGGCUCUGGCACUGGGCGGCUCCUGAGGCCCAGGGAGGAGCGUGACCUGCCCACGGGUCCACCAUCAUCGAAUGCGAGUCAGAGUCAGACCAAUGCUGUGGCUCCAGGACAAUGCCGUGUCCCCUCCUGGGGCUCAAAAAAGCAUGACAGGGAUUUGGGGGACAGGGGUGUUCACUUCUGCCCUCCAACAGGCUGAGGGGGAGGGUCUGGUUUCUCUGCUCACCUGUGCUGAGACGGUGCUGGGGAGAGGCAGGCGGGAGCCCCAGCCCCCUCCAAGUGUUUGCCAGCCCAGGCUCUGUCCUGUCCAGGCAUGUCCUGUCCACCUGCCUCCCUCUAGGGACCGUGGGGGCAGGCCUGGAGCACUGAGCUCAGGGCCCCGAGCCGUCUAGAGGGACAGCUUCCUCACACCAUGCACCUGGGCUGAGCUCAAGUCGCUGCAGCCCCUGACCCCCAACUCAGAUAUCCCUUUGCAGCCCACCUACUACCCAAGAAGCUGCUGUGUAGGGACAGAGCCCACCAGGGCACUGGGGACACGUGGCACAGGCCAGAGAGCUCCUGAGGCCUGGGAGGCUGCCAUGUUGGGUCCCAGAUGGACACACCCCAGUACGCCCAGUCUCAGGGCCUGAGCCACCCACUGGUUCUAGAAUUCUCUCAGGAGAAGAGAGCCCCUCACGGCCCCCUUCAUCACAGGCUGCGCGGCCUCAGCCUGGCCAGCCCCGAGACCCUUCUAGCUUGCGGAUCCCCCUCCUGCUCCCCCGACCCUGACUCUCCCAGAGUGGACUGGCCAGGUCUGGGUCUGGUCUGCGGGCAGGAGCCCUGCCCAGGCGGCCCCCAGGGCCGGCCCUCCUCUCCCCGACUCCAUGCACGUCUAUAAACGCCCUGCACAACCCAGGGCCUUUGCCCGUGCAUCCUCUGCCCGGGCGCCCUCUACACCAUCUGCUGAACCCGGGUGUGCUCUCUGGGCCCCUCUGCAGGUGCCUCCUCUGCUCCUUUGGGAAAGCCCCACCUGUCUUGAGGUCCCCCACACCUGUGCUUCCCAGCACCUCGGAGACCCCAGAACCACUGAACAAAGAACACUGGGGUCCUGGGCUGCCACAUGGAGGACCCCAGGGUGGCAGGCUCACAACAGCACAGGUGUCCUCCUACAGCUCCCAGGGCCGGGAGCCUGAAACCAAGGUGUCCACAGGGCCCUGCUGCCCCCAGAGGCUCUGGGCAGAGCCCUUCCGCCUUUCCAGCUCCCCCUGGUUCCCGUGCUCCUCGGCCUGUGGCCCCAUCACUCUGGCCUCUGCCUUCAUCUCAUGCCGAGAUCCCUGAAGCGGGCCCAGCUCCGUUCACUGCUCCCCCGGCCUCCUGCUGUUUCCCACACGCAGCCAUGGUACAGGGCAGCUCAUCCCACCACCUCCCCAACCGCAGCCUCCAGGGAUGUACACCCUGCCUCAGGGGCUGUGCCUGGGCCCUGGCUGGUGGAGGGCACAGCCGUCAGGGAAGGCCCUCAGCUGCAGGAUGCCGUGCCUCAGAGACCAACCAGGCCCUCGAAGGCACUGUGGCCGGCCCAGAUGUCAGCAGCUCCAGCAAUUAGGCUGGGACAGAUGGUGCCUGGUGACACAAGGGGACUGUGGGGGCCACAGGGGACCCUGCUCACCUGGACCUACCGUGGAGGCCAGGGAGGGAGAUGGACUCGAAGGGCGGAAGGGCCCAGAGAAGGCACAUUUGCAGAGCAGCGGCCGCAUUUCCAGAGCUCGGGAGCCCAACAGGAAUCCCGUCUGGCCAUGGGACCACCGCCCUUGGGGCUGGGGGAUGCCGCAGGGGACGGCAGAGGGCAGACAGGCCAGGAAAAGGGGAGGGCAGAGGGCAGACAGGCCAGGAAGAGCGCCUGCAAGUGCCCAAGGAAGGGACCAAACCCAGGCCCCUGGACCAGAGCGGCCGCCUGGUGGGGCAGGCUGGAAGGGGCCAAGGCCAGCGCCAAGGGGGAGCAGGUGAGGGACCCUGGUGGGCAUCUGUGGGAACAAGGCCACGUUUCUCCCUGCGCACGCUUUAAUCAAGGACAUUCCUGUGGUUCUCCAAAAGUGUCGCACACUACAUGGGUGUCGUGAGCUGGGCUCCGUGAGAGUGUGCGGGUGGCUGGGGGCAGCAAGGGAGCAGCAAGGCCUCAAACCCGGGCGGCGGCCUGGCCUGCGCGCCAGGAUGUGCGGUGUGAGUUUCCCGAGCUGCAGGAACAAGGUCCACAGACUGGGGAGCUUCACACAACAGAAACUGCCUCGCAGUUCCCGAGGCCAGAGCCCAUCGGGGUGGCUCCCUGAGGCCGUGAGCCCGGACUGUCCUGGGCCGCCCCCUCUUCCACAGGCUGAGAUCAUCCUUGGCGUCUGUUGGCCUGCGGCCGCCUCGCCCAACCUCUGCCCUCAUGUCCACACGGGUCCUCCCUGUGUGCAUGUUGGUGUCUGGAUCUGCCCUUUCUACUGUGGGGCAACUGUCGUCGAGGAUAGGGCCCACCACACAACACGGCCUCAUCGUAACUAAGUAUAGUCAGCAGUGAUCCUAUUUCCCAAUAAGGUCCCAUUCUGAGGUCCUGGACUUCAACAUGUGAAUUUUGGGGGCCACAACUCUACCCUGGCAUGCAGAGAGAGAAGGGGGGCGUGGAGUCCCCCUGGGGGGAAGUCCCUUGGGAAGUCACAGGCCCCCUUGGUGGGGCAAUUGGGACGUGGGUGUGAGGGUCCUGGGUACAGGGAGCCUGCCUACCAAGGCUCUGCCGACAGCUAUUUCUAAAUUCCUCGUGGAAAAUACCCUGUGGCCCUCCUCAUCUGGAGCGAGCGACGGGCUGGAGGGUGUCUGAGCCAGGCUGGUGCCGGGGAGCAGAUGUGGGUGGCCCAACCCAGCCCCUUGUUCUUGUUCCCCACCUCCCAGGAAAGGGGGAGGGUGGGCGGAGCCGGCCCUCCUGGGCUCUCUCCUUGGGUCCCGGAGCCACCUGGGGAGGGGAGGCUCAACCCCCUACCUUGGCCAGCUGGCUGCAGGUCUCUCAGGGCUGGCACAGAACAGCUGGGCUUUGCCAGGUGUCCCCCAUCCUGAUGCACGGCCCGGUGGUGCGGUCUCCAGGCCUCCCAGGAUUCUCAGCUGCGCCGUCUCCCCAGUCCCCAAACCCCAGUGGUGGCCGCCAGGGGACUGGACCGUCAGUCUGUGGAGCUGGGGCUGCAGCUGGUGGUGUUUCCAACAAGGGUCUUUUGGCUGCCUGGCUCCAGGGAGAGGCCUCUGGAGGCAAGGGGUAACCUACCGGGAAAGCCUCAAAGGCACCCCCAUCCCCGCCCCGCACAGACUCCACCGGCCCCCCAUGGUUCCUCCAGGCCCUCUUCAGUCAUGACAGGCAGUGCCUGGGUGCCCGGCCUGCUCAGCACACCCUGGGCCUCAGCCCCACCCAAGCCUUGGCCUAGCAUGGGAGCCACCACGGGAACACACACACGGGCUGGAGGGUGUCUGAGCCAGGCUGGUGCCGGGGAGCAGAUGCGUCAGAUGGAGGAGAAAAGCCCUGGGGCAGCGGCUUCUGGAGCUCUGGCCAAGGAUGGGCUCUGAGCACACCCCUGCCCGGCCCAGAGCACCAGGCCGGGGCAGGGUCAGGAACAGCUUGAAGCCCCCUGCAAAGUCUGUCCCUCCUCCUGGAGCCUCAGCUGCCCCUCCAACACAGCCCUCUGUGGGAGCCUAGAUGGCCCCCGUGUGGCCAUGAGACAUGGGCGGGCGCUGGUGGAUUCCUCUGUGUCAGGUGACAUGGUGGCACCCCGGCCGCAGGCUGUGCCCCGGCUGUGGCGUUAAGAAGGGCUAUGGAUCUAAAUAAAAUCCAGUCUCUUUGCUGGACCUGUUGUCAGUUUUAUGGCUCUGGGGUUAUAGAAACACGGGGAAGAGACCCCCAGGAGGCAGGGUGGGCUGGACGAGAGGCCACCAGGUAGGGCCCUCCCCUCCCUCCAUGGGAUACCACCCUGGGUGAUUCUAAAGGUGGGGAGUCCGCUGAGAAAGGGAGAUGGGAACCAGAGUUCCUAGACAAUUCGGCACCCGAGCCCAGGUGAACUUUUAACUCCUGCCUGCUGGGGUGGUGAAAGCCCAGGCCCCCC
Molecule: long non-coding RNA, 6376 nt
Filed under: Homo sapiens (human)
Lineage: Eukaryota; Metazoa; Chordata; Mammalia; Primates; Hominidae
Description: HSALNT0392110
Source: RNAcentral